Molecule: ribosomal RNA, 253 nt
Filed under: uncultured bacterium
Lineage: Bacteria
Description: partial 16S ribosomal RNA
Rfam family: Bacterial small subunit ribosomal RNA
Source: RNAcentral
UACGUAGGGGGCAAGCGUUAUCCGGAUUUACUGGGUGUAAAGGGAGCGUAGACGGCUAGGCAAGUCUGAUGUGAAAGCCCAGGGCUCAACUCUGGGAUUGCAUUGGAAACUGUUUGGCUAGAGUGCAGGAGAGGUAAGUGGAAUUCCUAGUGUAGCGGUGAAAUGCGUAGAUAUUAGGAGGAACACCAGUGGCGAAGGCGGCUUACUGGACUGUAACUGACGUUGAGGCUCGAAAGCGUGGGGAGCGAACAGG